Molecule: long non-coding RNA, 248 nt
Organism: Ananas comosus (pineapple)
Lineage: Eukaryota; Viridiplantae; Streptophyta; Magnoliopsida; Poales; Bromeliaceae
Exons: 2
Source: RefSeq, a predicted model, not a curated record
AGCUUCCUAAAAUCGCGAAAUCGGAAUCGUGGGCUCGUGGCAUCACCUAAAGGUACACACGUGAGCGGACCGGCAGAUGAUCGCGGUAAGGGCGUAGCGCCCUAGUGUAGUGACUUUCCAUUAUGCAUUAGAGCUACCUUUUGUAUGUGAGCGUAGAUGAUGUAUAGGUGGUGAGGUGUUUUGGAAAGAUUGUAAACUUUAUGUUUAUGUUUUGAAAGCUUAAAAUGUAAAUCAAUGCAAUGUAAAAA